This is a long non-coding RNA of Centropristis striata (black sea bass), 1355 nucleotides long. RefSeq lists it as uncharacterized. The record is from RefSeq and is a predicted model, not a curated record. Lineage: Eukaryota; Metazoa; Chordata; Actinopteri; Perciformes; Serranidae. The transcript has 4 exons.
GAGCCAGAGAGACGUCACGGCCAGCCGCAGCCAUGAAGACUGAGCGGUCCAGCCUCCGGCAGCUCAGUUGGUCUCCAUCUCCCGAGCUGCUCGUUUUCGCUUUUGGAGAGCGGACCCCGCAGAGACUCGCAGACGACGGCGUCAGAACUUGGGCCAUGUCACUUCGCCUGAGGCUUGAGAGGAUGGGUAGCCUUAGGGGUUGGUUGUUAUCUUUGGUUAUCUAGCUGUAUGAGUGAUGUACAUUCUUCAUAAAGCUAGAUAACCGAAAGUAACAAGAAUCCCAUUACACUCCUGAAAAGGCAUCAAGACCCCAAACGCGCCUCCCUCAACAAAAAGUACAAACUCUGCCAUCAGAACUGCAACACGACAGAAGAAAAUGGACGACAUUUAAAAGGAGCCGAAUGCAGUAAAAGGCUACCACCACACCACCACCACUGAAGGAAAGCUGGCAAAAGGAGACUGAAAAACAGAGAAGAAGGAGGAGGAGGGGUUGCUGUUGAUUCUGCCCUCCCUCUCUCCUCGCCCUCCUCUGCAUCGCCUCUUCCCUCCGCCUCCUCCUUCCUCCUCCGCUCCAUCCUCAGCAGACUGCCCCUUUUUCCUGUACAGCGAGACGCAGCCCGCGCCACCAUCUUAGAGCAACGCUGGCAUGAAAUGGAAGUGGGAAGACCAGUCAGUGCAGGUGAAUGUGUCGGUGCAGGGGGGGAUCCAAAACAACCAGAGCAAACAAUGGAGAGAUAGCAGGAGGACUCCUCCGUCAGCCUCUCAGCCAGGACUAAACAAGGAGGAGGUCUGCAUGCGAUACCUGCCGUGACUUUGGAACAGCGCCGCACUGUUUGCACCUCUUCGAUGCGGCUGUGUGAUGCAUUGUGUGACCCGAGCAAGACUGGCUGCGGGCGCCUUUUGGCAUCUUAGCCGAGCAAACAUCACAGUGGACUGUGACUGCAGGACAAGGGGCUCAGGCUGAAGAUCUGCAGCUGUGGACUAACCGGUCCAUAACUGUUGUGACUCUUGAGGGUGUGGCACUGAAUUGUGUAAUUAUUAUUCUUACAUAUAAAAUAAAAAUAAUAAUUAGAAAUGAAGCAAUAUAAUGUGUCUUCAACUAACAUAGGUUUGACUUACUGUAGGUCUCAUUUGACAAGUUGUAGCCCGAAUUUUGUUUGAUUUGUUUUGUUAUAGUUGCUAGGACUCAAAGACACGUGAAUGUGAGACCCACGGCAGCAGUGAAUAAUACUGCACUGCGAUUGGACAGCUCCAUGUGUCGGCUGACACAAUGGCGAAGGAGUGAGCUGUCGUCUUUAUACUCUAUGCAACUGUUUUAUCUUUUUUUUGUGGUCAUUUUUCCGUCUUGGAGCUCC